Culex pipiens pallens (northern house mosquito) is the source of this 271-nucleotide long non-coding RNA. RefSeq lists it as uncharacterized. Lineage: Eukaryota; Metazoa; Arthropoda; Insecta; Diptera; Culicidae. The record is from RefSeq and is a predicted model, not a curated record. The transcript has 3 exons.
AAAUUUAUUGCCAGCGUUUGUAGAUUCAGUUCUAAUUAUUUAAAGCGUUUCGUUGUGCGAGAGUGUGGUUGACGGCGUACCUUGUUGGCCAAGGUGACAGUGUUGUAGAUCGAGUCCUGGAAAGAGAAAGAAAAACUGUUUGCGGCUGGUACGGCUCACGACGUUGGGUGAUUUAGGAGUCGAACGGGAAACCAAUCCUUUUAGCGAUUACUUGCCAACUACAUCCCGGUGUGAUCCGCUCAAGAGAAGGUGUCCGAUAUUCUCCAUAACA